Molecule: transfer RNA, 66 nt
Filed under: Tuarega ouarzazatensis
Lineage: Eukaryota; Metazoa; Arthropoda; Insecta; Orthoptera; Pamphagidae
Description: tRNA-Asn
Source: RNAcentral
UUAAUUGAAGCCAAAGUAGAGGCACAUUACUGUUCAUAACAUAACUGAACCAAAGAUCAAAUUAAG